RNAcentral lists this long non-coding RNA (723 nucleotides) under Prunus persica (peach). RNAcentral describes it as "long non-coding RNA (PPER_LNC001338)". Lineage: Eukaryota; Viridiplantae; Streptophyta; Magnoliopsida; Rosales; Rosaceae. The record is from RNAcentral.
GGGGGGGGGAGGGAAAGGGAAGUGAGAUUUUGGGCCUCUGGUGGAGAAGAAAAGUGGGGACGAGAGAGAAAGGGAAAGGGAAAGGCAAUAAAUAUACAUAAACAAAUGAUGUUUAUGUUUAUGUUUGUGUUUUGGGUAUUUGGUUUUUUGUGUGUUGUGGGCUCUUAUGGUAGCAAUGAUAAAUUAUGAUCAUAUCAGAUUAUAAAUGUGGGUUGUCAAUGUGAUCGGCAUUGCGUUUGAGAGAGAGAGAGAGAGUUUUUAUAUAGAAAAAAAGGUUCAAGAGAGAGAGAGCUAGAGUUUGUGGCAAGUUGCACGUGGAUUGGAUAGGCGCAGGAGCACAGGAGGAAAUUCAUUAAAUAGAGAGAUGUUUGGGUUUUUGGCGUGUUUGGGAAUGGAGGAGACAAAAACCAGAAAAGGAGGAGGAGGAGGUGGAGGAGGAGGAGGAGGUCUAGGGGUAGUGGGGGCAAACGGCAAGGCAAUGCAAUGCAUAGAGAAUAGCUAGCGUGCUCUACGAACACAAUAACACCACACUAAACUCCGUACUUUUUCUCCCUCAAUUUGCUCCAAACUCUUGCUCGUUUCCCGAGACCCUAGCUUAGAUAUCAUAUACCUCUCCCUGCUCAUCUCUCUCUCUCUCUCUCUCUCUCUCUCUCUCUCUCUCUCUCUCCUCAUUUAUUUAUUCAGAUACAUCUUCUGCCCUUAUUUACUCUCUCUAUGUCUUUG